This 2343-nucleotide long non-coding RNA is filed under the name Salvia miltiorrhiza (redroot sage). RNAcentral's name for it is "long non-coding RNA (SMIL_LNC008354)". The record is from RNAcentral. Lineage: Eukaryota; Viridiplantae; Streptophyta; Magnoliopsida; Lamiales; Lamiaceae.
CAACACCAAUCAUGGGUGACAAAUUAAGCAAGAAUAGUCAUCUGUAGUAUAAAUCCCAUCUCUGAAAAUAGACUGAUUGAAAUAUAAUUAUUUAUCCAUCUUCAAUAUGAAAUAGUCCCCACAUUUCUCGAUAUAUAACAUUAAACACUUGAUAUUUAUCAUUUGCUAAAUCACGUCCCAAUACAUGAAAUAUCUCCACUUCAACUAUCACCACCCAAGAAAACUCUCAUCAAGUAUUUAGAAUCAUCGAACUUCACAUAAGACUUAGCAAAUAAUCCCAUCAAUAUUCAUGUAUAAUGUAAAUGCAAAAAUCAUCAUGAUUCCCAAGAAAAUUUCAUGCAAAAAUCAUCAUGUACAAUCUAACGAUGUUAAGCAUUCCAACUUAGCUCGAGUACUAAACAACUAUAAGCACUAGCGCAAAUCUUGCAGGCUGAUUACCCAAAUACACUUAGCCUAUCGGUCAAAAGAUUUUGAGGAAUUAAGACAAGAAUUGGAAAUGAAAACUUAGCUGCCAUGCUCAUCCCUGACCCGAAUCUUUGCCAGCUACGUCAACGCGGGAAUCCCCUGUGUUUAUGGACCCAGGCGGUGCUCGACGGCGAUACUCGGUCCCUGACCCUAAUGCUCAAUUGUCGAGCGAACUGAGGAGUGGCUGUGGCUGCGGCUGUCUCUUUGGUGAAGGUGACAAUGGAUAGACCCGCUGAUUCGAGCGGUUUCAUCGAUCCCAUUGCGAAGAAGAAGAGUGGAUCGUGAUUUUCCCUCGAUUUUCUGAAGCCAGCAGCGACGAUUCGCGCCUCAAGCGCCGCUAAACCGAGCGAUAACCCAAGCAAAAAUGGGUCUCUACUGGUAAUGCGCUGGGGAACACAGGAAAACGCGAAGAAUCAGUAGAAUUUUUUCAUGAUUUACUCGAAAUUACUCAGAAAUAAGUGUUAAUUUAUGAUAAUCGAGGGUUUUCCCCUCAGCUAGUAGUCGGCGGCGGGUGAUUCUUGCGCGGCAGCGGUGUCUGCGCGGUGGUGGUGUGUGGUUCGUGCGCAGCAGCGGCGCGCGGUCUCUGUGUGACAAUGGGGCACGGUUCUGUGCCUACGCACGGAGCCUGAACGGCAGCGAUUUGUUGGUUACGGAGGAAGCGAUCCACUGGCUUUUCGAAUUUUUUUGAUUGGAAUUGGGGGCUUCUGGAAAAGAGCAGGAGCGAGAUGCUCAGAUUUUUCUUGGAGAUGGCUAUUGUUGGGGGACUCCGCUGGGAACUGAGAAGGAUUCAAUCCGGGAUGUGGGAGAUAGAGGGCGAUGACAGGAGCUAGUUCUGUGGCUAGCGGCGACGCACGCCGGAAAUCAGCUCAGGAUAGCUGAUAGUGAAAUUGAGGCUUCUCGAUUUCUAUGAGAGAAUAAUUGAUCCGAAAUUGGGGAUCGAAAGAAGAAAGAGGAUUCUCUCCGGAAAGAGCUCAAAUCGAAGACUUCAUGGCCUCGAUUCCGAAAAUCGGAAAUCCCCUCUCUCCCCUGAAUCUGGAAAAAAAAUUUCUUCUUGCGAUGAACAGUAACCGACGAUGAACAGUAACCCUCUAUAUUUUUUUUAAAUUUUUUUUGUUGGUAAGCUCGUCGGAACUCACGACGUAGCUCCGAUUCGUUCCCACAGACGGCGCCAGUUGGUGAAACGAGAAACCAACACCUAGGGAUGUAAAUGAAGCAAAUAAUUUUGAUUCGGUUCGGUAUUCGAUUCGAAUUUUUGAUAUUCGAAUAUCAAAUUUUAUGAUUCGAAUACGAAUACAAAUUUUUUUUUUGAUUCGUUUAGUUAUCAAAUACUAUUCGAGAAUCACGAUAUUCGAUUCGAUUUGAUUCGGUAUUCGAAAAUAUAUAUAUAUAUAUAUAUAUAUAAUAUAAAUAAUAAAAUUUUAUUUUUUGGAGUUGGAUUUUGAAAUAGAAGAAAAUAUUUUUAGUAUAUAUUAUUGAGUUUUUUAAGUAAAUUUUGAAAUAUUAUUUUACAUUUUUUUUCUCUAUUAAAAUCGUGGAUUGAAUAUAUUCGAAUUAAAUUAAUAAUAGGAAUUUUUCGAACCGAAUAUUCGAUUUAUAUUGUGUUACAUACAUUUUAAAAAAAAGACAAACGAAUAUUCGAUUCGGUUCGAGUAUUCGCGAAUAGUAUACGAAUCGAAUACAAAUAGCGAAAUAUGAUUCGAAAGGUAUUCGAAUACCGAUUCGAAUAUGUAAUUAAUUUUACGAAUAUGAAUCGAAUACAGUGAUAUUCGAUUCGAUUCGAUUCGUUUACAUCCCUACCAACACCUAAACUAGAAAGCUUACACGAGACAAGAUUUACGUGGUUCGGUCGAGAAGACCUACGUCCACGGGGGGUUUUGG